CCUACGGGUGGCAGCAGUGAGGAAUAUUGGUCAAUGGGCGAGAGCCUGAACCAGCCAAGUCGCGUGAGGGAGUACUGCCCUAUGGGUUGUAAACCUCUUUUGUCGGGGAGCAAAAGCCGGACGUGUCCGGCUGUGAGAGUACCCGAAGAAAAAGCAUCGGCUAACUCCGUGCCAGCAGCCGCGGUAAUACGGGGGAUGCGAGCGUUAUCCGGAUUAAUUGGGUUUAAGGGGUGCGCAGGCGGAUGGUUAAGUCAGCGGUCACAGCGUGGGGCUCAACCCCAUCCAGCCGUUGAAAAUGGGGAUCUGGAGUAUGGGAGAGGCAUGCGGAAUGCGUGGUGGAGCGGGGAAAUGCGUAGAUAUCA
RNAcentral lists this ribosomal RNA (362 nucleotides) under uncultured bacterium. RNAcentral describes it as "partial 16S ribosomal RNA". It matches the Rfam family "Bacterial small subunit ribosomal RNA", at positions 338 to 699 of the family's 1533-position model. The record is from RNAcentral.